UACGUAGGGUGCGAGCGUUAAUCGGAAUUACUGGGCGUAAAGCGUGCGCAGGCGGUUAUGUAAGACAGAUGUGAAAUCCCCGGGCUCAACCUGGGACCUGCAUUUGUGACUGCAUAGCUAGAGUACGGUAGAGGGGGUAGAAUUCCAAGUGUAGCGGUGAAAUGCGUAGAGAUUUGGAGGAAUACCAGUGGCGAAGGCGGCCCCCUGGCACAAUACUGACGCUGAGGUGCGAAAGCGUGGGGAGCAAACAGG
This 252-nucleotide ribosomal RNA is filed under the name uncultured bacterium. Its description in RNAcentral is "partial 16S ribosomal RNA". It matches the Rfam family "Bacterial small subunit ribosomal RNA", at positions 524 to 776 of the family's 1533-position model. The record is from RNAcentral.